UACGUAGGUGGCAAGCGUUGUCCGGAUUUACUGGGUGUAAAGGGCGUGUAGCCGGGCUGACAAGUCAGAUGUGAAAUCCGGGGGCUCAACCCCCGAACUGCAUUUGAAACUGUUGGUCUUGAGUAUCGGAGAGGCAGGCGGAAUUCCUAGUGUAGCGGUGAAAUGCGUAGAUAUUAAGAGGAACACCAGUGGCGAAGGCGGCCUGCUGGACGACAACUGACGGUGAGGCGCGAAAGCGUGGGGAGCAAACAGG
This 253-nucleotide ribosomal RNA is filed under the name uncultured bacterium. RNAcentral's name for it is "partial 16S ribosomal RNA". It matches the Rfam family "Bacterial small subunit ribosomal RNA", at positions 524 to 776 of the family's 1533-position model. The record is from RNAcentral.